RNAcentral lists this transfer RNA (78 nucleotides) under compost metagenome. Its description in RNAcentral is "tRNA-Ser". The record is from RNAcentral.
GACCGGCUGGGCGAAGUAUUCAACGCUCCGUUGCUUGAGACGAUUGAUGAUCUGCGGAUCGAUACCGUGCCCGGUCAC